RNAcentral lists this transfer RNA (62 nucleotides) under Paramacrosteles nigromaculatus. RNAcentral describes it as "tRNA-Val". Lineage: Eukaryota; Metazoa; Arthropoda; Insecta; Hemiptera; Cicadellidae. The record is from RNAcentral.
AAGGUUAUAGCUUAUAUAAAGCUUGUUAUUUACAUUAAUAGGAAAAUUAAUAUUUAAUCUCA